Molecule: ribosomal RNA, 253 nt
Filed under: uncultured bacterium
Lineage: Bacteria
Description: partial 16S ribosomal RNA
Rfam family: Bacterial small subunit ribosomal RNA
Source: RNAcentral
UACGAAGGUCCCGAGCGUUGUUCGGAAUCACUGGGCGUAAAGGGAGCGUAGGCGGCGCGGUAAGUCAGAUGUGAAAUCCCGGGGCUCAACCCCGGAACUGCAUCCGAUACUGCCGUGCUAGAGGAUUGGAGAGGUAGCUGGAAUUCUUGGUGUAGCAGUGAAAUGCGUGGAGAUCAAGAGGAACACUCGUGGCGAAAGCGGAUCUCUGGGCCUUACCUGACGCUGAGGCGCGAAAGCUAGGGGAGCGAACAGG